GGUGAAGCGCACGUGGCAGCAGCUGAAGAUGAAAUAUAAAAACAUUGUUCAAACAGCCAACAGAAAGAAAGGAGAUGCCUGUAAAAAGGGAGGUGGCCCAGCACCACCACCUGUAACGGAGGCAGAGGAGCUGGUCCUAAGCCAGAAUUUGGGAAGGCCAGUGGCUGAGGGAAUCCCUGGAGGGAGCUCAUCCUCUGAGACCACAUCCCAAGACACAAGUGCUUUUAUAAAAUAUUCUGAUGGUACUAUCUGCCUGGUGGAGCCCCUUCACGCCACAACAGACCUUGUAACUGUAAGUAGGCAAUACUCCAAAGAUUUUGCCAAAUGGUAGUUUAAGUCCACUGAAACAUAUCACUCAUCUAGGAUGAAGAGGAUGAAACUGUGUCUGCUGCCUUUACAGAGGGGGAUCCAGAAAGGCAUACAGAGGUAUGUUAGUGAUAGUUCUCUUCCCAUUCACAUUUCUGAACAUUCUGGUGGAAUAUAGACUGGCAUUUAGCCUACACUGAAGU
Amphiprion ocellaris (clown anemonefish) is the source of this 509-nucleotide long non-coding RNA. RefSeq lists it as uncharacterized. The record is from RefSeq and is a predicted model, not a curated record. The transcript has 3 exons. Lineage: Eukaryota; Metazoa; Chordata; Actinopteri; Pomacentridae.